This is a ribosomal RNA of Cercocebus atys (sooty mangabey), 99 nucleotides long. NCBI's taxonomy places the organism in Eukaryota, Metazoa, Chordata, Mammalia, Primates, Cercopithecidae. The record is from Ensembl.
AUCUACAGCCAUGCCACCCUAAUCCUGAAAGCUAAGCAGGGUCUGGACUGGCCACUACUUAAAUGGCAGACCACCUGGGAAUAUCGGGUGCUGUAAACU